GAUGAACGCUGGCGGCGUGCCUAAUACAUGCAAGUCGAGCGAACGGACGAGAAGCUUGCUUCUCUGAUGUUAGCGGCGGACGGGUGAGUAACACGUGGAUAACCUACCUAUAAGACUGGGAUAACUUCGGGAAACCGGAGCUAAUACCGGAUAAUAUUUUGAACCGCAUGGUUCAAAAGUGAAAGACGGUCUUGCUGUCACUUAUAGAUGGAUCCGCGCUGCAUUAGCUAGUUGGUAAGGUAACGGCUUACCAAGGCAACGAUGCAUAGCCGACCUGAGAGGGGGAUGCGCCAACAGGGAACGGGGACCCGGUCCAAGCCCCACAGGGGGGCAGGGGUAGGAAAUUUCCCGGAAGGGGGGAAAGCCUGACGGGGAAACCCCGGGUGGGGGAUGAAGGUCUUCGGAUCGUAAAACUUUUUUUUUGGGGAAAAACAAAUGUUGAAGUAACUGGGCCCCUUUUGACGGUACCUAAUCAGAAAGCCACGGCUAACUACGG
RNAcentral lists this ribosomal RNA (496 nucleotides) under uncultured bacterium. RNAcentral's name for it is "partial 16S ribosomal RNA". It matches the Rfam family "Bacterial small subunit ribosomal RNA", at positions 28 to 506 of the family's 1533-position model. The record is from RNAcentral.